AACCCAUGGUGAGGGCACCUUCUCAAUAAGUCCUUAUACCUCUCCCAUGCAUCAUAUAGAGUCUCUAAAUCCAUUUGCACGAAGGAAGAGAUAUCAUUCCUUAGCUU
Molecule: small nucleolar RNA, 107 nt
Filed under: Gossypium barbadense (sea-island cotton)
Lineage: Eukaryota; Viridiplantae; Streptophyta; Magnoliopsida; Malvales; Malvaceae
Also listed under: 1 other name
Description: Plant small nucleolar RNA R71
Rfam family: Plant small nucleolar RNA R71
About the family: R71 is a member of the C/D box family of snoRNAs containing the C (UGAUGA) and D (CUGA) box motifs. Multiple nearly identical copies of this snoRNA have been identified in Arabidopsis, and it is thought to function as a 2'-O-ribose methylation guide for 18S ribosomal RNA.
Source: Rfam by way of RNAcentral